Long non-coding RNA from Nerophis ophidion (straightnose pipefish), 2722 nucleotides. RefSeq lists it as uncharacterized. NCBI's taxonomy places the organism in Eukaryota, Metazoa, Chordata, Actinopteri, Syngnathiformes, Syngnathidae. The record is from RefSeq and is a predicted model, not a curated record. The transcript is spliced from 7 exons.
AUGAAAUAAAUUAACAAUAAAAUGGUCUACAUAUAAUUAUUGCUUCACGGUCUAGUCAAGUUCUUCUGCAGUGUAAAGUAUUACUGUCAGUACAUUUACUGACAUUACUGUCAAUAGUGUCAAUACUGUCAAUAGAUUACAAUAGACAAUAAUAUAAAGUAUUGUACAUUUGUACAUUUACAGAUAAUAGAUCAGAUCAUGGCCAGUACGACUACCGCAUCAGUGGCGGAUGCGAUGGAUGAACCAAUGGCAAUGGCACUAGAUUUGCCUGAUGAGGAGGGCGAUCAAGAUCAGGUUCGAUUUGUUAUCCAAAUCAAUGUUCAAAUGGAUUACAGUUCAAGCCCAAUAGAGAAAGUAUUCAUAAUUUAUGUAAAUGAGGUAUCCAUAUUACAUGUAGCUGUUUCUCCAUUUCCUGGGAAAUACAAGAGAACAAGGAUGCCAGACGGACUGGGUACCGAUUGGGACAGCACCAACGGCAAUGACUAGUAGCAAGAGCACCCAAACAGGGAAAAUACAUCAUCGAUCAAAGGGACACCAGUUGACUCCAGAGAUCCUAGAGAGGGUUAGAGCUCAGCCAGCCAGGGUUAGUGAAGUCCCAUCGUCAAGUGCAGCAGCUCAACAAAGCAACUCCAGGUGCGUCUGGAAUGCAAGCCAAGCUAUGACCACCUCCUGCAUUGUUUGAUGAAGGACCAGCAUCAAGUCCCGCUGCGCCUUCUGUUAGUGGUUCUUCCGAUGUCAGCUAUGUGCCGAGUGGGUCAUUGACAUCGAAUCCGUGUCAAUCUGACGGGUCGCCAGAUCCCAAACGUACUCCCAAGAUGCGGGAAGAGGCCUGCCAGAAGGAACCGAAGUACAUCAUCUUUGAGUCGUGCCUCCAGAGUCUCGUCAAGUGGUGUCACUGUCCAGCCUGUGGCAGCCAGGAAAUAAGCCCUUCUAGGGAUUCGAACAGUACACAGCUAACCAUGACUAUACAAUGUGCAUCAUGUGACCAGAGGAGUAGGCGGAGCAGCCACCAAAACAUUGGCCCUUUAUGCCGCGGUCAACAUCCUGCUAUCUGCUGGCAUCCUCUUCGCUGGCGCAUCUUCUGGCAAGGUGUUGCAAGUGCUGAACAGCAUCGGAGUGGUCACGUAUGUGAAGAGAACAUUUUUCAAGCACCAGGAGCUCAUCCUGCAGCCAGCCAUUAAAAAGGUGUGGGAGGAACAGCAACGGACGCACCUCACCAUGCUGAAGGUGGAAGGCCGACCCCUCGUCCUUGGUGGUGAUGGGCGAGCAGACAGUCCGGGACACAGCGCCAAGUUCGGUACCUGCACCACAAUGGAGCUUGAGGCCAAUGUGGUUCUCAACCUUCAGGUUGUACAGAGGAACAAAUGUCAUGGCAGCUACCAUAUGGAGAUGGAAGGACUGAAGAGGAUGGUGGAGUUGCUGAUCAGCUGGGACCUGGAUGUCAGGGUGCUGGUGACAGACAGAUACAGACAGAUCGCUAAAUGGAUUCGUGAAAACAUGCCCAAUACACGGCACUGCUAUGACAUCUGGCAUGUUGCAAAAUGUUAUUUGGAUUAUUUGUAUGCAUGACAAGUGAAGUAGUGUGUACAUAUCAGUGAUCAGAUGAAUGUGAUAUUGUAUUUAACCCACAAAUUUCUGUUUUUUUCUGUUUGUAGCCAUCGGGAAGAAACUGAAGGCCAUCCUCAAGCUCAAGAACUGUGAAGAACUGAAGCCCUGAGUGCUAAGUAUAAUCAAUCACCUCUACUGGGCAGCAGUGUCUACACCGCCUGGAGAGGGGGAACUUCUGGUUGCCAAGUGGAAGUCUGUGGAGCGACACAUUCAGAACAUCCACAAGGACCAUGGCGACCUCUUCCCAAUUUGUGCUCAUGGACAACUGCACGGUAGAAAGCUGCAAAAGAAAUGGCUCAAACCAAGUUCACGCUCAGCAGUGAAACUUGAGGAGGUGGUCAACUACAAGUCCCUGCUGAAAGAUAUCGCCAUGCUGUUGGGUGAACACUAGACUUCCAAGGUGGAGGCGUUCCAUAGCCUUAUCAUACAGUUCGCACCGAAAAUGUAUGUCUUCUCAUACAUCGGAAUGCUGUGCAGGAACCUGCUUGCUGGGCUGCACUGGAAUGAAAACUCGAGCCACCCUAUAGCCACUACACAAGCGUGUGCUGAGCGCUAUGCAGUACGCUACCCGAAGUAUAAAGCAGGGGGCCAUGUGGUCAAGAAAAUUGCGAAAGAGCCAACAUACCGCUACGUAGAUGACUUGAUCAGGGAGGUUGUUGCUGGCUGCAGACAGAACCCCUGACGAGAGAACACCAGUCAGCGUCACCGUGGAUGUGCCUACUUUCCUCUGCGAUGAACUGGAGAAGCCAGACAAGGAGGAAGCCAUCGCCAAGCACAGGAGUCGCUUCGCUAAGCGUUAACUACAGUGGCCAUGUGGAUUCUGAUGGAAAUGUUGUUCUAAUCUUAUGUACUACACAAGCUGGUUGUGAAGCCCUUAUCUCCUUUCCCAGAUAUCCCCAGCAGAAGCGGACAAACUGUCGAUAUGCUGUGUAUGGUCCCCGCCUGCAAGUGCAAAAUAGUUGAUAGCAAAUUAUGGCACCUGUUAUUAUCCGGACAUGGAUACACAGUGACUCACUGUUCUCCGAGAUGCCAAAGUCAUUGUCAUGCAUUCUAUUCAUUUGUCAUUUACUGUUGCAGUAGAUUGUAAAUAUUGUUAAGAUAAGAAAGUGCUCAU